This 253-nucleotide ribosomal RNA is filed under the name uncultured bacterium. Its description in RNAcentral is "partial 16S ribosomal RNA". It matches the Rfam family "Bacterial small subunit ribosomal RNA", at positions 524 to 776 of the family's 1533-position model. The record is from RNAcentral.
UACGUAGGGGGCAAGCGUUGUCCGGAAUCAUUGGGCGUAAAGAGCGCGUAGGCGGUCCGGUAAGUCGGUUGUGAAAACUGGGGGCUCAACCCUCAGAGGCCGACCGAUACUGUCGGGCUAGAGUCCGGAAGAGGCGAGUGGAAUUCCUGGUGUAGCGGUGAAAUGCGCAGAUAUCGGGAGGAACACCGGUGGCGAAGGCGGUUCUCUGGGCCUUACCUGACGCUGAGGAGCGAAAGCGUGGGGAGCGAACAGG